GAUGAACGCUGGCGGCGUGCCUAAUACAUGCAAGUCGAACGCUUCACUUCGGUGAAGAGUGGCGAACGGGUGAGUGAUACAUAAGUAACCUGGCAUCUACAGGGGGAUAACUGAUGGAAACGUCAGCUAAGACCGCAUAGGUGUAGAGAUCGCAUGAACUCUAUAUGAAAAGUGCUACGGGACUGGUAGAUGAUGGACUUAUGGCGCAUUAGCUUGUUGGUAGGGUAACGGCCUACCAAGGCGACGAUGCGUAGCCGACCUGAGAGGGUGACCGGCCACACUGGGACUGAGACACGGCCCAGACUCCUACGGGAGGCAGCAGUAGGGAAUUUUCGGCAAUGGGGGAAACCCUGACCGAGCAACGCCGCGUGAAGGAAGAAGUAAUUCGUUAUGUAAACUUCUGUCAUAGAGGAAGAACGGUGGAUAUAGGGAAUGAUAUCCAAGUGACGGUACUCUAUAAGAAAGCCACGGCUAACUACGUG
Molecule: ribosomal RNA, 482 nt
Filed under: uncultured bacterium
Lineage: Bacteria
Description: partial 16S ribosomal RNA
Rfam family: Bacterial small subunit ribosomal RNA
Source: RNAcentral